This is an RNA transcript of Nicotiana tabacum (common tobacco), 3402 nucleotides long. It is a transcript of the gene named F-box/kelch-repeat protein At1g67480, with no coding region annotated. Lineage: Eukaryota; Viridiplantae; Streptophyta; Magnoliopsida; Solanales; Solanaceae. The record is from RefSeq and is a predicted model, not a curated record.
GGAGCUGUGUUUCUUUUGCUUUUUUUUUUUUUUAUUACUCAAUUACAUGAAUAGCUAAUAUUGAUACACUUGAAGAAGGAGGUUGUCUUGAUUGAAAAUUUCCUUUCUGUAUAUGUUGGUUAACAAAAAAGGAUUUGCCUUUUGUAAUAGGGCUAAUGGAUCGAUGCUACUGGAGCUGGUUUUACCUUUUAGCCAUUGAUUUAUCUUUGUCUAAGCUAAUUAUUUUGCUUUUCUUGAAUACUUCUGUAUGUGUAAGGUGUUAUUAAUUUAAUAUAAUUGAGACGUUUCUUUUAAAAUGUGUUUUAAUUCAGAUAGGUGAAUUUUCUGAGUGAUAUGUGAAAUUAUGUAGCUGGUAACCACCAGCCGUCUUAACCAGUAAUUAUUUAUGAUGUUAGUUUCUAAUUCUAAUGGGCUGUAUGGGCAAUUUAAGAUCUGAUUGUCAUACAAAUUUUUUUAAUCAAAGAAUCUAUUAGCUCUUUGCAAUAGCGAUGUAGGUGUUGUAAAUUGAUAAUUGGGAUGUAAUUGUCGAUUUUGUUCCUUUUUUUUUUUUAAUAUUUAUUUUGCAUCCUCACCCCCUCCUUUUUGACUUUUAAGGGAGUUGUUGGGGGGUUUUGGUACAGGGAUUUUGGCUGGUGCUAUGGUGGGUAGGGUAACUUAACACUUCUCUUUUGAUCUCUAUCGACCUGCAGAGGCGGAUCCAGAAUUUAAACUAUAUAGAUUCAACUUUAAUGGUUUUAACAUUGAACCCAUUAUAUUUUUAAAAUUAUGGAUUCAUGUCUAUUUCAGUGAAUUUUUAAAGAUAAAUUUAUACUCCGCGUCGAAAGUUAUGAGUUCAAUUAAACCAGUCACUGCAAUACUACAUCUGACCCUGUUGGCAUGCCUUACUUUUGCUUUGUUCAUGUGAGAGGAGUAUGUGCGAGGCAGUGGCCGAGUUGUCUACUAAUUGCUCUCUUAUUUUUGGUUUGUUUGCGUUUUGAAGCAUUUGUUCACAAAUUUUCUGUUGUUGUUAAUGUUGAAAGGCUUUGGUUUUGCUAUUGGGGAGAAUAUCUUCUUCAUAGAGUGCAGAUGAAGUAACUAUAUAUGACUCGUUGUAUGAUCUAGGGCAGGUGAUUCUUUGCUUGGAGCCUUGUACAGGAUGGAAGUAACAGGAGGUUGAGACCUUUAAAUUCUAUGGCAUUGGAAGGUAUUUGGGAAAUGCUUGGGGUAGCAGAAAACUUGCGGAAAAUAGAAAGUGCUAGCAGCAAGGGUUGUCCGUCUAACAAGUUUUACCAUAGAACCCGAAGAAGUGGCAUGGAAUUUGACUCUGAUUGGACCAAGCAUAGAAAAUCAUUGACCUUUACUGCACAAGUCAUCAGUUCUUCAACUUCUUUUAUCCCUUGGUCUUCUAAGAUUGCAAUUAGUGAAGGAUAUCAUGAAUUUCUUUAGUCAAUUGUCAAUUUAUUCAGUUACUUUGUCAAAAAAUUGUGGUUUUAGAAAAUUGCUGGUGUUGUAAGUGGAAACAAGAGAGUCACUGCAUCAAGUAUGUGUUCCACAGAUUUGAGCCAGCAAGAUAGUCUAGGUUUUGAUUCCUUUUUAACUUAUAAUUAUGUGUCUGAUGGCCCCAUCUUGCCUGGACUGCCAGAUGAUGUGGCAAAGUAUUGCCUUGCACUUGUUCCCCGAUCCGAUUUUCCUGCUAUGGGUGGUGCCUGCAAGCGGUGGAGGUCAUUUCUGCGAAGCAAAGAGUUCAUCAGCAUUAGAAAGCUGGCUGGUCUGCUUGAGGAAUGGCUUUAUGUCCUGACUGUGAAUGCAGAAGGAAGAGAAAGCUACUGGGAGGUUUUCGACUGCUUAGGAAACAAACACCAUCAGCUCCCACAGAUGCCCGGUCAUAUAAAGGCUGCUUUUGGAAUUGUAGUUCUCAAUGGUAAACUUCUUGUUAUUGGUGGUCAUUCCAUGAUUGGUGAAUCUGGGUCGGUCUCAGCCGACGUUUAUCAAUACGAUUCUUACUUGAACAGGUGGAGCAAAAUGGCUAGCAUGAACGUGGCACGUUAUGAUUUUGCUUGUGCUGAGGUGAAUGGAAUGGUUUAUGCAGUUGGUGGUUUUGGGAUAGAUGGCGAAUCUCUUUCUUGUGCUGAGGUUUAUGAUCCAGAUCAAGAUAAAUGGACUGUGAUCGAGAGUCUUCGCAGGCCAAGGUGGGGCUGCUUUGCAUGUGGAUUUGGGGGAAAGCUUUAUAUUAUGGGUGGUCGAUCAAGUUUUACAAUUGGGAAUUCAAGGUCUGUUGAUGUGUAUAAUCCCAAGAGUCACACUUGGGGCGAGAUGAAAAGAGGUUGUGUUAUGGUUACCGCUCAUGCUGUUCUGGAAAAGAAGCUCUUCUGCAUAGAAUGGAAGAACCAGCGGAAACUAUCCAUUUUCAAUCCGGAGGACAAUUCAUGGAAGAUGGAGCCAGUUCCAGUGACAGGGAGUUCAAGCAUUCGAUUCCAGUUUGGCAUACUGGAUGGGAAGCUUUUACUGUUUUCUCUACAAGGCGAUCCUGGUUAUAACACCCUGCUAUAUAAUCCUAAUGCAGCUUCAGAAUCACAGUGGCAGACUUGUGACAUAAAGCCAUCUGGUGUGUGCCUUUGUACUGUUACAAUCAAGGCAUAAAAAUCAAAUUGCAACAAAGAGUUAGACAUCAACGCACAAAUAUCUGUAUACUCAAAGUUUCUCUUCAGGUCAUCAAAGUCUAAAUCAUAUUUUGGAGCAAAUGAUAGCCUCUCCUAGUCAGUAGAAGUGGGCAGCCAAGUUGAUGGGAUAUGACUAUGCCAUUGUCUAUAAAAAAAGGAAAGAAGAUGCAGGGUUGAGCACAAAAUUGCACUUUCAUUUCCUGGUCACUCCCAACUAUUACAGCAGGUUAAAGACUCGUACUAAUGACGAUAUCCAGUACUAUCACAAUGAAUUAGAGGAAAAUAUUAAAGACUCAUCCUUAUAAUAUGACAUGAUAUCCAGCUAUCAAUAAAUUGGAGGAAAAUGCAGACUCUAAGCCAGGGUAUGAAUGGAGAAAUGGUUUCUUAUACAGGAAAGGUAAGGUAGUGAUUAGUAAGUAUUGAGCUGAGCUAAAAUUAAUUUUGAUGAUUAACAAAGAGUGAUUAAAGAACCGGGUCUUUUGAAGAUAUUUUCGGUGCAAUAAACAAGGUUGAUGACUUGUCAAGCUGAUGUUAAAGAAUCAGGUUCCUCGAUGAGUUGAUCAAGAGCUAGCUGCAAAUCGAUUCCUAGUGCAAAUAGUAUUCUUUAGAGGUUUUUUUUUUCGCAAGCUACAGGUAUUGUACUAGCCAGAAGAAGUUGUGUUCAACAAGGAUUCUAUUUAUGGGAAUACUUGCAUAGAAGAAAAGGCGUGUAAAGUUGAAAGUAUUUAAGGAAAUCAAGUUCAGUUGGGAUUAUUUUCCUUAA